RNAcentral lists this ribosomal RNA (710 nucleotides) under uncultured bacterium. Its description in RNAcentral is "bacterial SSU rRNA". It matches the Rfam family "Bacterial small subunit ribosomal RNA", at positions 30 to 756 of the family's 1533-position model. The record is from RNAcentral.
UGAACGCUGACAGAAUGCUUAACACAUGCAAGUCUUUGGCGAAGCUGUGCUUGCACAGCCUAGCCAAGGCGGACGGGUGAGUAACGCGUAAGGAACUUGCCCUGCAGUCAGGGAUAACAGACGGAAACGACUGAUAAGACCUGGUAAAGUCAGGCGGACUCAUGUCCAGCCUGAUGAAAAGAGAUGCUGCAGGAGAGCCUUGCGUCCUAUUAGCUUGUUGGUGGGGUAACGGCCCACCAAGGCGAUGAUAGGUAGCCGGCCUGAGAGGGUGGACGGCCACAAGGGGACUGAGAUACGGCCCUUACUCCUACGGGAGGCAGCAGUGGGGAAUAUUGGACAAUGGGGGCAACCCUGAUCCAGCAAUUCUGUGUGCACGAUGAAGGUUUUCGGAUUGUAAAGUGCUUUCAGCAGGGAAGAAAAAAAUGACGGUACCUGCAGAAGAAGCGACGGCUAAAUACGUGCCAGCAGCCGCGGUAAUACGUAUGUCGCAAGCGUUAUCCGGAAUUAUUGGGCAUAAAGGGCAUCUAGGCGGCCAGAUAAGUCUGGGGUGAAAACUUGCGGCUCAACCGCAAGCCUGCCCUGGAAACUAUGUGGCUAGAGUACUGGAGAGGUGGACGGAACUGCACGAGUAGAGGUGAAAUUCGUAGAUAUGUGCAGGAAUGCCGAUGAUGAAGAUAGUUCACUGGACGGUAACUGACGCUGAAGUGCGA